AAGGUUUGAAAAAACUGACCUAAGACAGUAGGGGAGUUCAACUCAUAAACAUCCUACCGAGGCACAAAACGGAUAGAAACGUAUUUGUACUUUCGUGUCUAGGUUUGGCGCGUUUUUUUAUUGAAACA
Molecule: non-coding RNA, 128 nt
Organism: Streptococcus cuniculi
Lineage: Bacteria; Bacillati; Bacillota; Bacilli; Lactobacillales; Streptococcaceae
Source: Rfam